This 499-nucleotide ribosomal RNA is filed under the name uncultured Aquabacterium sp. Its description in RNAcentral is "bacterial SSU rRNA". It matches the Rfam family "Bacterial small subunit ribosomal RNA", at positions 518 to 1019 of the family's 1533-position model. Lineage: Bacteria; Pseudomonadati; Pseudomonadota; Betaproteobacteria; Burkholderiales; Sphaerotilaceae. The record is from RNAcentral.
CGGUAAUACGUAGGGUGCAAGCGUUAAUCGGAAUUACUGGGCGUAAAGCGUGCGCAGGCGGCUUUGCAAGACAGAUGUGAAAUCCCCGGGCUCAACCUGGGAACUGCAUUUGUGACUGCAAGGCUAGAGUACGGUAGAGGGGGAUGGAAUUCCGCGUGUAGCAGUGAAAUGCGUAGAUAUGCGGAGGGACACCAAUGGCGAAGGCAAUCCCCUGGACCUGUACUGACGCUCAUGCACGAAAGCGUGGGAGCAAACAGGAUUAGAUACCCUGGUAGUCCACGCCCUAAACGAUGUCAACUGGUUGUUGGACGGCUUGCUGUUCAGUAACGAAGCUAACGCGUGAAGUUGACCGCCUGGGGAGUACGGCCGCAAGGUUGAAACUCAAAGAAAUUGACGGGGACCCGCACAAGCGGUGGAUGAUGUGGUUUAAUUCGAUGCAACGCGAAAACCUUACCUACCCUUGACAUGUCAAGAAUUUUGCAGAGAUGUGAAAGUGCUC